GCCAUCUCCCUCCUCUCUGCUGAUCAGCGACCACCACUAGCGAGGCCAACAGCCGCCUGUCGCUUCCGUAGGAUUUCUCUUCCUCUAUGAUCGAUGAGCAACACCAACAAUAGCUGAUACAAGCAGCGCGCAGCGAGAACAACCAACCGUCAAGAAUCAUCAACUCCGUCAGCAGCAGCAGCUCCGGCGAAGGCGAGACGAGUAUCACCGGAGAAAGGAGAUGUUGCUCACCCUUUGCUCGUUAUCUGCCCCUCUCUACUUUUUCCGGUGGACAGCAGCUCAACAGAGCAAGCAUUAGUCCUCAGGCCAUUCAAUAUCAAGCAUUGUUCCGGGAGCAAAAGACAAUUUCAAAUCAUCAGUAUUGGCUAUUGAGGC
Molecule: unclassified non-coding RNA, 375 nt
Filed under: Hevea brasiliensis (rubber tree)
Lineage: Eukaryota; Viridiplantae; Streptophyta; Magnoliopsida; Malpighiales; Euphorbiaceae
Source: RNAcentral